CGGCGCGCCUAACACAUGCAAGUCGAACGAGCGAGAGAGAGCUUGCUUUCUCGAGCGAGUGGCGAACGGGUGAGUAACGCGUGAGGAACCUGCCUUUAAGAGGGGGAUAACAGUCGGAAACGGCUGCUAAUACCGCAUAAAGCAUCAAAUUCGCAUGUUUUUGAUGCCAAAGGAGCAAUCCGCUUUUAGAUGAGCUCGCGUCUGAUUAGCUGGUUGGCGGGGUAACGGCCCACCAAGGCGACGAUCAGUAGCCGGACUGAGAGGUUGAACGGCCACAUUGGGACUGAGACACGGCCCAGACUCCUACGGGAGGCAGCAGUGGGGAAUAUUGCACAAUGGGGGAAACCCUGAUGCAGCGACGCCGCGUGGAGGAAGAAGGUCUUCGGAUUGUAAACUCCUGUUGUUGAGGAAGAUAAUGACGGUACUCAACAAGGAAGUGACGGCUAACUACGUGCCAGCAGCCGCGGUAAAACGUAGGUCACAAGCGUUGUCCGGAAUUACUGGGUGUAAAGGGAGCGCAGGCGGGAGAACAAGUUGGAAGUGAAAUCCAUGGGCUCAACCCAUGAACUGCUUUCAAAACUGUUUUUCUUGAGUAGUGCAGAGGUAGGCGGAAUUCCCGGUGUAGCGGUGGAAUGCGUAGAUAUCGGGAGGAACACCAGUGGCGAAGGCGGCCUACUGGGCACCAACUGACGCUGAGGCUCGAAAGUGUGGGUAGCAAACAGGAUUAGAUACCCUGGUAGUCCACACCGUAAACGAUGAUUACUAGGUGUUGGAGGAUUGACCCCUUCAGUGCCGCAGUUAACACAAUAAGUAAUCCACCUGGGGAGUACGACCGCAAGGUUGAAACUCAAAGGAAUUGACGGGGGCCCGCACAAGCAGUGGAGUAUGUGGUUUAAUUCGACGCAACGCGAAGAACCUUACCAAGUCUUGACAUCCCUUGACGAACAUAGAAAUAUGUUUUCUCUUCGGAGCAAGGAGAUAGGUGGUGCAUGGUUGUCGUCAGCUCGUGUCGUGAGAUGUUGGGUUAAGUCCCGCAACGAGCGCAACCCUUAUGGUCAGUUACUACGCAAGAGGACUCUGGCCAGACUGCCGUUGACAAAACGGAGGAAGGUGGGGAUGACGUCAAAUCAUCAUGCCCUUUAUGACUUGGGCUACACACGUACUACAAUGGCGUUAAACAAAGAGAAGCAAGACCGCGAGGUGGAGCAAAACUCAGAAACAACGUCCCAGUUCGGACUGCAGGCUGCAACUCGCCUGCACGAAGUCGGAAUUGCUAGUAAUCGUGGAUCAGCAUGCCACGGUGAAUACGUUCCCGGGCCUUGUACACACCGCCCGUCACACCAUGAGAGCCGGGGGGACCCGAAGUCGGUAGUCUAACCGCAAGGAGGACGCCGCCGAAGGUAAAACUGGUGAUUGGGGUG
This 1421-nucleotide ribosomal RNA is filed under the name synthetic construct. RNAcentral describes it as "bacterial SSU rRNA". It matches the Rfam family "Bacterial small subunit ribosomal RNA". The record is from RNAcentral. RNAcentral also lists the same sequence under 1 other name.